GUGUCUGUGUUGGAGGUGCCUGUGUUGGAGGUGUGUGUCUGUGUUAGAGGUGUCUGUGUUGGAGGUGUCUGUGUUGGAGGUGUCUGUGUUGGAGGUGUGUGUCUGUGUUGGAGGUGUGUGUCUGUGUUGGAGGUAUCAGUGUUGGAGGUGUCUGUGUUGGAGGUGUCUGUGUUGGAGGUGUCUGUGUUGGAGGUGUCUGUGUGAUGUGUGUCUGUGUUGGAGGUGUCUGUGUGGGGUGUGUCUGUGUUGGAGGUAUCUGUGUUGGAGGUGUCUGUGUUGGAGGUAUCUGUGUUGGAGGUGUCUGUGUUGGAGGUAUCUGUGUUGGAGGUGUCUGUGUUGGAGGUGUCUGUGUUGGAGGUAUCUGUGUUGGAGGUGUCUGUGUUGGAGGUAUCUGUGUUGGAGGUGUCUGUGUGGGGUGUGUCUGUGUUGGAGGUAUCUGUGUUGGAGGUGUCUGUGUGAUGUGUGUCUGUGUUGGAGGUAUCUGUGUGGGGUGUGUCUGUGUUGGAGGUAUCUGUGUUGGAGGUGUCUGUGUUGGAGGUAUCUGUGUUGGAGGUGUCUGUGUUGGAGGUGUCUGUGUUGGAGGUAUCUGUGUUGGAGGUGUCUGUGUUGGUGGUAUCUGUGUUGGAGGUAUCUGUGUUGGAGGUGUGUGUCUGUGUUAGAGGUAUCUGUGUUGGAGGUGUCUGUGUUGGAGGUAUCUGUGUUGGAGGUGUCUGUGUUGGAGGUAUCUGUGUUGGAGGUAUCUGUGUUGGAGGUGUCUGUGUUGGAGGUAUCUGUGUUGGAGGUAUCUGUGUUGGAGGUGUCUGUGUUGGAGGUAUCUGUGUUGGAGGUAUCUGUGUUGGAGGUGUGUGUCUGUGUUGGAGGUAUCUGUGUUGGAGGUGUCUGUGUUGGAGGUGUCUGUGUUGGAGGUGUCUGUGUGAUGUGUGUCUGUGUUGGAGGUGUCUGUGUUGGAGGUGUCUGUGUUGGAGGUAUCUGUGUUGGAGGUAUCUGUGUUGGAGGUGUCUGUGUUGGAGGUAUCUGUGUUGGAGGUAUCUGUGUUGGAGGUGUGUGUCUGUGUUGGAGGUAUCUGUGUUGGAGGUGUCUGUGUUGGAGGUGUCUGUGUGGGGUGUAUCUUUGUUCAAAUCAAAUCAAAUGUAUUUAUAUAGCCCUUCUUACAUCAGCUGAUAUCUCAAAGUGCUGUACAGAAACCCAGCCUAAAACCCCAAACAGCAAGCAAUGCAGGUGUAGAAGCACGGUGGCUAGGAAAAACUCCCUAGAAAGGCCAAAACCUAGGAAGAAACCUAGAGAGGAACCAGGCUAUGAGGGGUGGCCAGUCCUCUUCUGGCUGUGCCUGGUGGAGAUUAUAACAGCACAUGGCCAAGAUGUUCAAAUGUUCAUAAAUGACCAGCAUGGUCAAAUAAUAAUAAUCAUUGUAGUUGUCGAGGGUGCAACAAGUCAGU
Molecule: long non-coding RNA, 1436 nt
Filed under: Salmo salar (Atlantic salmon)
Lineage: Eukaryota; Metazoa; Chordata; Actinopteri; Salmoniformes; Salmonidae
Description: lncRNA (ENSSSAG00000087261.1)
Source: RNAcentral